This 492-nucleotide ribosomal RNA is filed under the name uncultured bacterium. RNAcentral's name for it is "bacterial SSU rRNA". It matches the Rfam family "Bacterial small subunit ribosomal RNA", at positions 29 to 507 of the family's 1533-position model. The record is from RNAcentral.
AGUGAACGCUGGCGGCAGGCCUAACACAUGCAAGUCGAACGGCAGCACAGCAGUAGCAAUACUGUGGGUGGCGAGUGGCGGACGGGUGAGGAAUACAUCGGGAUCUACCGUUUUCGUGGGGGAUAACGUAGGGAAACUUACGCUAAUACCGCAUACGCCCUACGGGGGAAAGCGGCGGACCGCAAGGCGUCGCGCGAUGAGAUGAACCGAUGUCCGAUUAGCUAGUUGGCGGGGUAAAGGCCCACCAAGGCGACGAUCGGUAGCUGAUCUGAGAGGAUGAUCAGCCACACUGGAACUGAGACACGGUCCAGACUCCUACGGGAGGCAGCAGUGGGGAAUAUUGGACAAUGGGCGCAAGCCUGAUCCAGCCAUGCCGCGUGGGUGAAGAAGGCCUUCGGGGUUGUAAAGCCCUUUUGUCCGGAAAGAAAAGCACGGGAUUAAUACCCUCGUGUGAUGACGGUACCGGAAGAAUAAGCACCGGCUAACUUCGUG